This 733-nucleotide ribosomal RNA is filed under the name uncultured Sulfurimonas sp. RNAcentral's name for it is "bacterial SSU rRNA". It matches the Rfam family "Bacterial small subunit ribosomal RNA", at positions 650 to 1380 of the family's 1533-position model. Lineage: Bacteria; Pseudomonadati; Campylobacterota; Epsilonproteobacteria; Campylobacterales; Sulfurimonadaceae. The record is from RNAcentral.
GGGAGGGGGAGAUGGAAUUAGUGGUGUAGGGGUAAAAUCCGUAGAUAUCACUAGGAAUACCGAAAGCGAAGGCGAUCUCCUGGAACAUUACUGACGCCAAGGCGUGAAAGCGUGGGGAGCAAACAGGAUUAGAUACCGUGGUAGUCCACGCCCUAAACGAUGUUCACUAGUCGUCGGGAUGCUAGUCAUCCCGGUGAUGCACUUAACAGAUUAAGUGAACCGCCUGGGGAGUACGGUCGCAAGAUUAAAACUCAAAGGAAUAGACGGGGACCCGCACAAGUGGUGGAGCAUGUGGUUUAAUUCGAAGAUACGCGAAGAACCUUACCUAGCCUUGACAUUGAUAGAACGGACCAGAGAUGGACCGGUGCCCUUCGGGGAGCUUGAAAACAGGUGCUGCACGGCUGUCGUCAGCUCGUGUCGUGAGAUGUUGGGUUAAGUCCCGCAACGAGCGCAACCCUCGUCUUUAGUUGCCAGCAGGUUAAGCUGGGCACUCUAAAGAGACUGCCUUCGUAAGGAGGAGGAAGGUGAGGACGACGUCAAGUCAUCAUGGCCCUUAUGGCUAGGGCUACACACGUGCUACAAUGGGGCGUACAGAGAGUUGCGAUACCGCGAGGUGGAGCCAAUCUCACAAAGCGUCUCUCAGUUCGGAUUGUAGUCUGCAACUCGACUACAUGAAGCUGGAAUCACUAGUAAUCGUAGAUCAGCAAUGAUACGGUGAAUACGUUCCCGGGUC